This 78-nucleotide non-coding RNA is filed under the name Escherichia coli. Its description in RNAcentral is "Nucleoid-associated noncoding RNA 4 (CssrE)". It matches the Rfam family "Nucleoid-associated noncoding RNA 4 (CssrE)". From Rfam's summary of the family: In E. coli small RNA transcribed from repeated extragenic palindromic element (REP325) called nucleoid-associated ncRNA 4 (nRNA4) collaborates HU protein in condensing the DNA. Lineage: Bacteria; Pseudomonadati; Pseudomonadota; Gammaproteobacteria; Enterobacterales; Enterobacteriaceae. The record is from RNAcentral.
GGCCGGAUAAGGCGUUUACGCCGCAUCCGGCGGUUGUGCGCAGAUGCCUGAUGCGACGCUGACGCGUCUUAUCAUGCC